RNAcentral lists this ribosomal RNA (440 nucleotides) under uncultured bacterium. RNAcentral's name for it is "bacterial SSU rRNA". It matches the Rfam family "Bacterial small subunit ribosomal RNA", at positions 958 to 1398 of the family's 1533-position model. The record is from RNAcentral.
AACGCGAAGAACCUUACCCAGACUUGACAUGCAGAUGACCGCUCUAGAAAUAGGGUUUUCCUUCGGGACAUUUGCACAGGUGCUGCAUGGCUGUCGUCAGCUCGUGCCGUGAGGUGUUGGGUUAAGUCCCGCAACGAGCGCAACCCUUAUCAUUAGUUGCCAACACGUAAAGGUGGGAACUCUAAUGAGACUGCCUGGGUUAACCAGGAGGAAGGUGAGGAUGACGUCAAGUCCGCAUGGCCCUUAUGUCUGGGGCUACACACGUGCUACAAUGGUCGGAACAGAAGGCAGCGAAGCCGCGAGGUGAAGCAAAUCCGCAAAUCCGAUCUCAGUUCAGAUUGUAGUCUGCAACUCGACUACAUGAAGAUGGAAUUGCUAGUAAUGGCGAGUCAGCAACAUCGCCGUGAAUACGUUCCCGGGCCUUGUACACACCGCUCGUC